AGACCGGUGGUCCCACCUGACCCCAUGCCGAACUCAGAAGUGAAACGCCGUAGCGCCGAUGGUAGUGUGGGGCCUCCCCAUGCGAGAGUAGGG
This 93-nucleotide ribosomal RNA is filed under the name Cronobacter sakazakii. The record is from RNAcentral. Lineage: Bacteria; Pseudomonadati; Pseudomonadota; Gammaproteobacteria; Enterobacterales; Enterobacteriaceae.